UUUUUCCUACGGGGGGCAGCAGUGGGGAAUAUUGCACAAUGGGGGAAACCCUGAUGCAGCGACGCCGCGUGAGUGAAGAAGUAUUUCGGUACGUAAAGCUCUAUCAGCAGGGAAGAAAAAAAGUCCUUUGGACUUUGGACGGUACCUGACCAAGAAGCCCCGGCUAACUACGUGCCAGCAGCCGCGGUAAUACGUAGGGGGCAAGCGUUAUCCGGAUUUACUGGGUGUAAAGGGAGCGUAGACGGCAGCGCAAGUCUGGAGGGAGAUGUCGGGGCCCAACCCCGGAACUGCUUUG
Molecule: ribosomal RNA, 295 nt
Filed under: uncultured bacterium
Lineage: Bacteria
Description: partial 16S ribosomal RNA
Rfam family: Bacterial small subunit ribosomal RNA
Source: RNAcentral